This 270-nucleotide ribosomal RNA is filed under the name uncultured archaeon. RNAcentral describes it as "partial 16S ribosomal RNA". It matches the Rfam family "Archaeal small subunit ribosomal RNA", at positions 477 to 747 of the family's 1478-position model. The record is from RNAcentral.
CAGCACCUCAAGUGGUCAGGAUGAUUAUUGGGCCUAAAGCAUCCGUAGCCUGCUUUGUAAGUUUUCGGUUAAAUCCAUACGCUCAACGUAUGGGCUGCCGGGAAUACUGCAAAGCUAGGGAGUGGGAGAGGUAGACGGUACUCGGUAGGAAGGGGUAAAAUCCUUUGAUCUAUUGAUGACCACCUGUGGCGAAGGCGGUCUACCAGAACACGUCCGACGGUGAGGGAUGAAAGCUGGGGGAGCAAAUCGGAUUAGAGACCCCCGUAGUCC